This 210-nucleotide long non-coding RNA is filed under the name Capsicum annuum. RNAcentral describes it as "long non-coding RNA (CANN_LNC008627)". Lineage: Eukaryota; Viridiplantae; Streptophyta; Magnoliopsida; Solanales; Solanaceae. The record is from RNAcentral.
CUCGACAGAUAGAGAAGGCUAAGAAUAAGGAGAAGGAUAGGGAAAAUAAAAGAGCUAAAAUAGGUAGCUUCAACUUUACUCAACCUGAGUCAGGUGGUGGGAAUUAUUCUCAGUUCUACCUAAAAUUUUAAGUUCUAGCUCCAUCCUCAGCCAGUGCUCCAGUACCAAAAUUCAGAGAUGGGAAUAAAGAUAGGGCAUCAGGCCCUAAAC